This 468-nucleotide ribosomal RNA is filed under the name uncultured bacterium. RNAcentral describes it as "partial 16S ribosomal RNA". It matches the Rfam family "Bacterial small subunit ribosomal RNA", at positions 28 to 507 of the family's 1533-position model. The record is from RNAcentral.
GACGAACGCUGGCGGCGUGCUUAACACAUGCAAGUCGAACGGAAAGGCCCUGCUUUUGUGGGGUGCUCGAGUGGCGAACGGGUGAGUAACACGUGAGUAACCUGCCCUUGACUUUGGGAUAACUUCAGGAAACUGGGGCUAAUACCGGAUAGGAGCUCCUGCUGCAUGGUGGGGGUUGGAAAGUUUCGGCGGUUGGGGAUGGGCUCGCGGCUUAUCAGCUUGUUGGUGAGGUAGUGGCUUACCAAGGCUUUGACGGGUAGCCGGCCUGAGAGGGUGACCGGCCACAAUGGGACUGAGAUACGGCCCAGACUCCAACGGGAGGCAGCAGUGGGGAAUAUUGCACAGUGGGCGGAAGCCUGAUGCAGCAACGCCGCGUGCGGGAUGACGGCCUUCGGGUUGUAAACCGCUUUCGCCUGUGACGAAGCGUGAGUGACGGUAAUGGGUAAAGAAGCACCGGCUAACUACGUG